This is an RNA transcript of Mus musculus (house mouse), 3675 nucleotides long. It is a transcript of the gene named PDZ domain containing 9, with no coding region annotated. The record is from RefSeq and is marked validated. The transcript has 2 exons. NCBI's taxonomy places the organism in Eukaryota, Metazoa, Chordata, Mammalia, Rodentia, Muridae.
GCGAAACCGCGCGCCGGCCGGCGGCGCCCAGGACUGCCCUGCAGAGCCUUCCCGAGGGGGCGUCGGCUCAGCCCGGCGCUCGGGGCUGCUACGGUGGUUCGGGUCGGAGACCCCUGAGAUCUUAAAGAUUUGUCCAGUGAGAAUUAGGUGCAGACUGUUCCAGAGACAAGGAAACAGUCACUGGGGAGAGAGAAAGUGGAUGUCAGGUUCAGGGACCUGCAGAACGGCCCGUGUGACUAGAGAGUGAGUGGCAGGAGAAAAGAUGCAAUGGGAAGGAACUGGAGGAUUUUCGACCAGGAUAGUGACAUGACCUUAUUUGGUUUGUGAAGAUCUGUGGUAUAAAUAGAUUAUAAUGGGGGGAGGGGCAGCGAAUGUAGGGACACCAGAAAUGGCCCCGCAGUCUAAGACAGAGAAUUGUGGUUUUUAGUUAUGGUAGUCAAGAAAGAGAAAAAUGAGCAGAUGUGUGUGUUUUGCAGACAGAAGGAAGAACUUGCUGAUAACAGAGAAAGCGAUGAAGAAUAACCUGAAAUGUUUGUUAGUUUGCCCCUACCAGGUGUUUAGUGAUAUUUACAGAGUAAGGUUGUGGGGAGAGCCUUAGAUUUAGUGCAUAAACAGGAAACAAUAAUAUGAAUUGUUAUAAUAACAGGAUUUGUCUACGAUUUUGCUACCCCCUGGAGGUUUCCUUCCACCGUGGCUCUCUGCUAAAUCACCAUUAACCCUGACUUUAUAUCCAUCUCUUUCUUAGCACUCCAUAGAGCAAAUGGAGAUGAUUUUUCUACUUAAGUACCACCUAAGCUAUCUCUAGAAAGACCUAGAAGAGCGACUUUUGUCUCUAUUUUUGGGAUGCCUACAUGUCCACAAAACUCAGGAGGUUUCAAAUUCCACCAAAUCCAGCAUCCUUUCGUAAUGGGCACCAGUGCCACCACGUAGAUUGGGGAAAAUGGAGUUGAUUGCUGGUCUAAAGACUUUUCAGCCCAAACAUUGGUCUCUUGGGGCAAGUAUUUUUUUAAAAGUGCAUAUUUAAUUACAUAAUUUAUUUUUCCUCUGCCAUUGACACUGACUCAGGUAAUUCAUGUUUCCUGGGGAUCCAGAUAGAAUGCCUAUCAGUUGCUGCAGUAGCUCUUCCCUUUCUUGUUCUAAAGACUGGGGAAGUUCUAAGGAGCCAUAGUUUUGGCUUUGUUGUUGUUGUUGUUGUUGUUUAUGUUUGUUUGUUUUUUCAAGACAGGGUAUAGCCCUGGUUGUCCUGGAACUCAUUUUGUAGACCAGGCUGGCCUCGAACUCAGAAAUCUGCCUGCCUGUGCCUUGCCUCCCAAGUGCUGGGAUUAAAGGCGUGUGCCACCACCGCCCGGCUUAGUUUUGGCUUAUCUGCUGUUUUGAUUGUCCAGAAUAAAAGGAGCUGUAACUAUAACAGAGAGGAUUCCUGACUAAUACCCAUUGAUGUUCAUAACUGAUCAAGGCCAAAUGUUGGAACAGUUUGCGACUGUUUUAACUCCAGCUCUGUGGGAUGACGAUACUUUAAUUCUUGAGUUUGAAAAAAAAAUGUAUAAAUUCUUCCUUUUACCCCAACAGUAUUUACCAGGACAUCUUGAAGUAUAUGUAUUCUUCUAUUCAAGAUUCUAGACCUGUGAUUAAAAUGUGUGUGUGUGCAUGUGUGUACAUGUGUGUGUGUAUGUAUUCGUGUGUGCUUGCGUGGGUGUGUAUGAGUGUAUGUGUGUUAGAAGGAUUAAAAAACAUUCUCCAUCCUUCUCCAGGGGUUUCGUAUCAUUGUAGAUAACAGCGAUUCACCUGGUCUUUUCCUACAAGUAAGACAGGCAUAGUAAUUAGGAGGCAAGCACAGUGCUCACACAGUUCCCACCACUUCCCAUUUUAGCCGCACGCUCUGUUUGUCUCCAAUCGCGCUGAUAAUUCAGAGUCCCAUGUCUCUGCAGUAACAGGACAACACAGUUCCCUUCUCUACAGCUCUACCUACAUUUUAACAGAAGCAAAACUGAGGGGCAAUGAGGGGGUGGGGUGGGGGGAGAGCAAAAUGAUGGAGAAGUAUGUGCUAAUUCCAGCCCUGCUGCUAACUUGAACUGAGAAGUCCAUGUCCUUGCUUUGAGCCUCUUUUUCCUCUCCUCCUGAACAGACCUUGUGUGCAGCAGAGGCAUCUCAUCACUCACCUGAGUAAACAGCUGGGAUCUUUCUAUUCGGAGAUGAGCCACCAUGCCCCUUACGGUGGAGAGUCCUUGGAGACCCAGAAGAACAUAGACGGCCCCCAGGAGGGCUCUGUGCUGGCAGGCUAAAGACAGAAAUAGCCAUACGGUGGCUGUUAAAGGGAUGAGACUGUGGCGUGCUUUCUUGUGAUAGAUGGUAGGACUCAGCUCGGAAGAAGCUGACUCCAGAUGGGACUUCAGGGAAAACGGGAAGAAACCGUGCCAUUACUCUGCACUUGAAGGAGCAUCUUUGGCCUGACAGGAUAAUGAACACACUUCCUCUCUCAGUCAGGUUUACUGCGUGGGCCGAGAGAGUGGCAGCUAUGUUGCAUAUUUGUGCCUGGGAUUCUUAGGGUGGGAGAAGACAACAGUCAAAUCCAGAGGUUAGCUUACACCCAGGGAUCAAAUGGCAAUUUGUCUGGUAGGUUGGUUCUCGCAGAACUGUCUCCAAGAUGAAAAGUUAUUGAUCGGUGGUGUGUAGGACAUUUAUUAGGGAGCUCUCUUAGGACCAAUUCCUGUGGGGGGAAGGAAGGAAGUGGAAUUAAUCCGAAGUCAGCUACAGGCCCAGGAGGUUUUGACAGACUGAUAGAGAGCUCUCAAGCUAGGGUGGGUGUUUGGAGUUCUGUCAGGACAAAGGGACUAAGUCUUCUAGUACCGACUAGGUAUUAGGUGCUAGCUACCCCGGGAAGAGGACAAAGGGACUAAGUCUUCUAGUACCGACUAGGUAUUAGGUGCUAGCUACCCCGGGAAGGGGGCAUUGUCUUGGGGGAAAGCAGCUUAUUCAGCCAAGGCUGGUUCAUCAAGAAGACAGCAGAGGGCUGGGAGAUGGCUCGGUCAGUAAGGUGCUUGCUGUACAAGCAGGAGGUCUUGCUUGGAACCCAUGUGAGCCCAGGCACAGUGCCUAUGACCCCCCCACACACACCCCCCACCCUCCACUGGGGAAAUAGAGACAGGAGGAUCCCUGUAGCCUGCUGACCAAAUAGAUAGUCUACACAAGUAAGGAAACAUACAUAAAUGCCCUUAAAAGACUUCUAUCAGAUCACUCAACCUACAACCCUCUCCAUAGCUGGGGACCAGUCCCUCUGCCCUGAGGGAGCGCCUGUAUUACAAAGUGCAUCUUGUAGUUUAUUCUGUAACUUGGUUGUCAUGAAGUGUGUAACCUGGUCGUCAUAAAGUGUUUUGGGUUUUGGGUUUGAGGUUUCCUCAGUGUAGCCUUAACUGUCAUGAAACUUGCUCUGUAGACCAGGCUGGGCUUGAGCUCAGAGACCCAUCUGCCUCUGCCUCUUGAAUGUUGGGGUCAUUUAAAGGCAAGUGCCACCACCCUGGCCUUUUGACAGGAUCUUAGGUAGACCAGGCUGGUAUGGAAUUUAUACCCUGCCUCUGUCUUUCAAGAGCUGGGAUGGCAGGUAUGUGGUACCAUGUCUGCCUAGUAAAUUUUCAGUUCCUCGACAUCUUCUAAUAAAGUUGACUACAGGAAAAAGAA